RNAcentral lists this ribosomal RNA (471 nucleotides) under uncultured bacterium. Its description in RNAcentral is "partial 16S ribosomal RNA". It matches the Rfam family "Bacterial small subunit ribosomal RNA", at positions 28 to 507 of the family's 1533-position model. The record is from RNAcentral.
GACGAACGCUGGCGGCGUGCUUAACACAUGCAAGUCGAACGAUGAAGCCUAGCUUGCUAGAUGGAUUAGUGGCGAACGGGUGAGUAAUACGUGAGUGACCUACCUUUGACUCUGGGAUAAGCCUGGGAAACUGGGUCUAAUACCGGAUACGACCAAUCUCCGCAUGGGGUGUUGGUGGAAAGCGUUAUGGAGUGGUUUUAGAUGGGCUCACGGCCUAUCAGCUUGUUGGUGAGGUAAUGGCUUACCAAGGCGACGACGGGUAGCCGGCCUGAGAGGGUGACCGGCCACACUGGGACUGAGACACGGCCCAGACUCCUACGGGAGGCAGCAGUGGGGAAUAUUGCACAAUGGGCGCAAGCCUGAUGCAGCGACGCCGCGUGAGGGAUGACGGCCUUCGGGUUGUAAACCUCUGUUAGCAUCGAAGAAGCGAAAGUGACGGUAGGUGCAGAGAAAGCGCCGGCUAACUACGUG